RNAcentral lists this ribosomal RNA (369 nucleotides) under Pavlova sp. CCMP459. Its description in RNAcentral is "partial Bacterial small subunit ribosomal RNA". It matches the Rfam family "Bacterial small subunit ribosomal RNA", at positions 358 to 720 of the family's 1533-position model. Lineage: Eukaryota; Haptophyta; Pavlovophyceae; Pavlovales; Pavlovaceae. The record is from RNAcentral.
GGAAUAUUGGACAAUGGGCGAAAGCCUGAUCCAGCAAUACCGCGUGUGUGAAGAAGGCCUUCGGGUUGUAAAGCACUUUAAGUUGGGAAGAAAAAACUUCAAUUAAUACUUGAAGUCUUGACGGUACCGACAGAAUAAGCACCGGCUAACUCUGUGCCAGCAGCCGCGGUAAUACAGAGGGUGCUAGCGUUAAUCGGAUUUACUGGGCGUAAAGCGUGCGUAGGCGGUUUGAUAAGUCGGUUGUGAAAGCCCCGGGCUCAACCUGGGAAUUGCGGCCGAUACUGUCAGACUAGAAAACGGUAGAGGGAGGCGGAACUCCAGGUGUAGCGGUGAAAUGCGUAGAUAUCUGGAAGAACACCGAUGGCGAAG